Molecule: ribosomal RNA, 462 nt
Filed under: uncultured bacterium
Lineage: Bacteria
Description: partial 16S ribosomal RNA
Rfam family: Bacterial small subunit ribosomal RNA
Source: RNAcentral
GAUGAACGCUGACAGAAUGCUUAACACAUGCAAGUCAUUGGCGAAGCUGCGCUUGUGCCGUCUAGCCAAGGCGGACGGGUGAGUAACGCGUAAGGAGCUUGCCCUGCAGACAGGGAUAACAGACGGAAACGACUGAUAACACCUGGUAUUGUCAGGCUGGCGCAUGCCGGCCUGAUGAAAGGAGACGCUGCAGGAGAGCCUUGCGUCCUAUUAGCUAGUUGGUGGGGUAACGGCCCACCAAGGCGAUGAUAGGUAGCCGGCCUGAGAGGGUGAACGGCCACAAGGGGACUGAGAUACGGCCCUUACUCCUACGGGAGGCAGCAGUGGGGAAUAUUGGACAAUGGGGGCAACCCUGAUCCAGCAAUUCUGUGUGCACGAAGAAGGUUUUCGGAGUGUAAAGUGCUUUCAGCAGGGAAGAAGAAAGUGACGGUACCUGCAGAAGAAGCGACGGCUAAAUACGUG